This 1219-nucleotide long non-coding RNA is filed under the name Felis catus (domestic cat). Its description in RNAcentral is "lncRNA (ENSFCAG00000053361.1)". Lineage: Eukaryota; Metazoa; Chordata; Mammalia; Carnivora; Felidae. The record is from RNAcentral.
AUGUCUCUAGAGUGGGCCUCGGGAAAGCAGACACUUCGCAACUACCGGCCUGCCAAGACCACCCGGGAACAGAAGAAAAGUAAACCACCCACUGUUCUGAUCUGCCCUGGAGGAGGGGGCUUUGAAACUGGAGAAAAAAAGAAAGAGGUACCUACUGGAAUGAGUGUUCUAAUACCGACACUGAAUGCCAAGAUAGGAAUACGACCCAGGUGGCCUUAAAGAACCCACUUCCCAGGGAGAAAGGUGGGCACGGGUUUAAUUUCACCCAUCCGGGGCACAGGCAUUAGAUAAAAAGUAUCUUAUGUUUGCACCCCCAUCACACUGAGACUCCUCAGUAUACACGUAGCACCAAGAAGAAUAUAAUGGCCACUGGGAUUUACAUGCACCAACGAUUUUCAAAAGACCUUUUUGAGAAAAAAUAACACAUGACGACAAUAACAAAUAACAACACCGAUUUCCUUCUCACACCACAAUUAGGAAAUGUUACUGUCUUUAAUGUUGGUUAAACCAAUUUUAUCGAAGGUACUGUAGAGCCAAUAUCACUUCGUUUACCGAUGUGACGACUCUCAUGGGAAAAGAUGCAUCUACCUGUUUAGAUCUUCUUUACAAGCUAUGGCGGAGAAUAUUCUUUAAGCCUUUUCUUUUCAAAAACCCAUAGCUCCAUGACAUGACGGAACUCUGAAUUGAAUCGUGUUAGCUAUCAUCAGCCUCUUGAGAUGUCUGGGAAUCGUAUAUUACAUCAGAUCAAUGUCACUUUCAGCUCACUGCAACUCCAGAACAGGGAAGGUGACAAAAUUGUAGAGUAUAAAAUUCUGAAAGAAGGCAUGCCUUUUUGAGAGACUGCUAAGUUGAGACUACGUGAUGCCAAAUAUUUAGAUGAAAACAGAUUAAUUCCCUGAGAUAUCUAUUUGCAUACAGGCAUCUGGAUGUUUGACAGGAUGUAGACAAAACAUGUGAAUGACUGUCUAAAUUCAACACCCUUUAUCCAAACAUUGGGCACCGCUUGGAAACAGCCAAAGACCUGUAGUAUUAAGACACAAAGCAAGCUAAUGUCCCCUUCGAGGCUUGCACCCAACACAAAUGUGACAUCUGGUCUCUUGAACAGUCACUCAACAUUCAGCCACUUUUAACCCACGACUGACUUUUAAAAUUGAUCUGAACUGCCUGUAGCUUAGAACGGAGUUCCAGAAGUGUGAAAAGAAAUACAUUUUAGAUGUUC